This 440-nucleotide ribosomal RNA is filed under the name uncultured bacterium. RNAcentral's name for it is "partial 16S ribosomal RNA". It matches the Rfam family "Bacterial small subunit ribosomal RNA", at positions 338 to 795 of the family's 1533-position model. The record is from RNAcentral.
CCUACGGUGCACAGCAGUGGGGGAUAUUGCACAAUGGGGGGAACCCUGAUGCAGCGACGCCGCGUGGGUGAAGAAGCGCCUCGGCGCGUAAAGCCCUGUCAGCAGGGAAGAAAAUGACGGUACCUGAAGAAGAAGCCCCGGCUAACUACGUGCCAGCAGCCGCGGUAAUACGUAGGGGGCAAGCGUUAUCCGGAUUUACUGGGUGUAAAGGGGGCGCAGAAGGGGAUGCAAGCCAGGAGUGAAAGCCCGGGGCCCAACCCCAGGACUGCGCUUGGCACGGCGUGGCUGGCGUGCAGGAGGGGCAGGCGGAAUUCCUGGUGUAGCGGUGAAAGGCGUAGAUAUCAGGAGGAACACCGGUGGCGAAGGCGGCCUGCUGGACUGCAACUGACGUUGAGGCCCGAAAGCGUGGGUAGCAAACAGGAUUAGAUACCCGGGUAGUC